RNAcentral lists this ribosomal RNA (1364 nucleotides) under Escherichia coli. Its description in RNAcentral is "bacterial LSU rRNA". It matches the Rfam family "Bacterial large subunit ribosomal RNA", at positions 398 to 1765 of the family's 2925-position model. Lineage: Bacteria; Pseudomonadati; Pseudomonadota; Gammaproteobacteria; Enterobacterales; Enterobacteriaceae. The record is from RNAcentral.
UGUGAGCUCGAUGAGUAGGGCGGGACACGUGGUAUCCUGUCUGAAUAUGGGGGGACCAUCCUCCAAGGCUAAAUACUCCUGACUGACCGAUAGUGAACCAGUACCGUGAGGGAAAGGCGAAAAGAACCCCGGCGAGGGGAGUGAAAAAGAACCUGAAACCGUGUACGUACAAGCAGUGGGAGCACGCUUAGGCGUGUGACUGCGUACCUUUUGUAUAAUGGGUCAGCGACUUAUAUUCUGUAGCAAGGUUAACCGAAUAGGGGAGCCGAAGGGAAACCGAGUCUUAACUGGGCGUUAAGUUGCAGGGUAUAGACCCGAAACCCGGUGAUCUAGCCAUGGGCAGGUUGAAGGUUGGGUAACACUAACUGGAGGACCGAACCGACUAAUGUUGAAAAAUUAGCGGAUGACUUGUGGCUGGGGGUGAAAGGCCAAUCAAACCGGGAGAUAGCUGGUUCUCCCCGAAAGCUAUUUAGGUAGCGCCUCGUGAAUUCAUCUCCGGGGGUAGAGCACUGUUUCGGCAAGGGGGUCAUCCCGACUUACCAACCCGAUGCAAACUGCGAAUACCGGAGAAUGUUAUCACGGGAGACACACGGCGGGUGCUAACGUCCGUCGUGAAGAGGGAAACAACCCAGACCGCCAGCUAAGGUCCCAAAGUCAUGGUUAAGUGGGAAACGAUGUGGGAAGGCCCAGACAGCCAGGAUGUUGGCUUAGAAGCAGCCAUCAUUUAAAGAAAGCGUAAUAGCUCACUGGUCGAGUCGGCCUGCGCGGAAGAUGUAACGGGGCUAAACCAUGCACCGAAGCUGCGGCAGCGACACUAUGUGUUGUUGGGUAGGGGAGCGUUCUGUAAGCCUGCGAAGGUGUGCUGUGAGGCAUGCUGGAGGUAUCAGAAGUGCAAAUGCUGACAUAAGUAACGAUAAAGCGGGUGAAAAGCCCGCUCGCCGGAAGACCAAGGGUUCCUGUCCAACGUUAAUCGGGGCAGGGUGAGUCGACCCCUAAGGCGAGGCCGAAAGGCGUAGUCGAUGGGAAACAGGUUAAUAUUCCUGUACUUGGUGUUACUGCGAAGGGGGGACGGAGAAGGCUAUGUUGGCCGGGCGACGGUUGUCCCGGUUUAAGCGUGUAGGCUGGUUUUCCAGGCAAAUCCGGAAAAUCAAGGCUGAGGCGUGAUGACGAGGCACUACGGUGCUGAAGCAACAAAUGCCCUGCUUCCAGGAAAAGCCUCUAAGCAUCAGGUAACAUCAAAUCGUACCCCAAACCGACACAGGUGGUCAGGUAGAGAAUACCAAGGCGCUUGAGAGAACUCGGGUGAAGGAACUAGGCAAAAUGGUGCCGUAACUUCGGGAGAAGGCACGCUGAUAUGUAGGUGA